UGCUGUCUGGAGGGGACUCACAAGACCGACGUCAAGAUGAUGCUUUCAAGGGCCAAACCUGCUGUAGGCAGAGGCGUACAGCACACUGACAAAAGAAAGAAGAAAGUUCAAACGUCAUGUUGGGGAAGAAGAAGAGGAUACUAAUUUGUGGAUUGGAUAUUGUGCCUUUCACCUGGGUGACUACAAGAGAGCUCUGGAGGAAUACGAAAAUGCUACAAAAGAGGAAAAUUGUAAUUCUGAAGUCUGGGUGAACCUAGCUUGCACCUACUUCUUUCUUGGGAUGUAUAAACAAGCUGAAGCAGCUGGAUUUAAAGCUUCAAAAAGCCGACUCCAAAACCGCCUCCUCUUCCACUUGGCUCACAAGUUUAAUGAUGAGAAAAAAUUGAUGAGCUUUCAUCAAAAUCUUCAGGAUGUCACAGAAGAUCAACUCAGUUUGGCCUCAAUCCACUAUAUGCGAUCUCACUACCAAGAAGCUAUAGAUAUAUAUAAGCGAAUACUGCUAGAUAACAGGGAAUACCUUGCCCUCAAUGUUUAUGUGGCCCUCUGCUACUAC
Molecule: small RNA, 553 nt
Filed under: Pongo abelii (Sumatran orangutan)
Lineage: Eukaryota; Metazoa; Chordata; Mammalia; Primates; Hominidae
Description: processed transcript
Source: RNAcentral